GACGAACGCUGGCGGCGUGCUUAACACAUGCAAGUCGAACGGAAAGGCCCUGCUUUUGUGGGGUGCUCGAGUGGCGAACGGGUGAGUAACACGUGAGUAACCUGCCCUUGACUUUGGGAUAACUUCAGGAAACUGGGGCUAAUACCGGAUAGGAGCUCCUGCUGCAUGGUGGGGGUUGGAAAGUUUCGGCGGUUGGGGAUGGACUCGCGGCUUAUCAGCUUGUUGGUGGGGUAGUGGCUUACCAAGGCUUUGACGGGUAGCCGGCCUGAGAGGGUGACCGGCCACAUUGGGACUGAGAUACGGCCCAGACUCCUACGGGAGGCAGCAGUGGGGAAUAUUGCACAAUGGGCGGAAGCCUGAUGCAGCAACGCCGCGUGCGGGAUGACGGCCUUCGGGUUGUAAACCGCUUUCGCCUGUGACGAAGCGUGAGUGACGGUAAUGGGUAAAGAAGCACCGGCUAACUACGUGCCAGCAGCCGCGGUGAUACGUAGGGUGCGAGCGUUGUCCGGAUUUAUUGGGCGUAAAGGGCUCGUAGGUGGUUGAUCACGUCGGAAGUGUAAUCUUGGGGCUUAACCCUGAGCGUGCUUUCGAUACGGGUUGACUUGAGGAAGGUAGGGGAGAAUGGAAUUCCUGGUGGAGCGGUGGAAUGCGCAGAUAUCAGGAGGAACACCAGUGGCGAAGGCGGUUCUCUGGGCCUUUCCUGACGCUGAGGAGCGAAAGCGUGGGGAGCGAACAGGCUUAGAUACCCUGGUAGUCCGCGCUGUAAACGGUGGGUACUAGGUGUGGGGUCCAUUCCACGGGUUCCGUGCCGUAGCUAACGCUUUAAGUACCCCGCCUGGGGAGUACGGCCGCAAGGCUAAAACUCAAAGGAAUUGACGGGGCCCCGCACAAGCGGCGGAGCAUGCGGAUUAAUUCGAUGCAACGCGUAGAACCUUACCUGGGUUUGACAUGGAUCGGGAGUGCUCAGAGAUGGGUGUGCCUCUUUUGGGGUCGGUUCACAGGUGGUGCAUGGCUGUCGUCAGCUCGUGUCGUGAGAUGUUGGGUUAAGUCCCGCAACGAGCGCAACCCUUGUUCACUGUUGCCAGCACGUUAUGGUGGGGACUCAGUGGAGACCGCCGGGGUCAACUCGGAGGAAGGUGGGGAUGACGUCAGGUCAUCAUGCCCCUUAUGUCCAGGGCUUCACGCAUGCUACAAUGGCUGGUACAGAGAGUGGCGAGCCUGUGAGGGUGAGCGAAUCUCGGAAAGCCGGUCUCAGUUCGGAUUGGGGUCAGCAACUCGACCUCAUGAAGUCGGAGUCGCUAGUAAUCGCAGAUCAGCAACGCUGCGGUGAAUACGUUCCCGGGGCU
This 1346-nucleotide ribosomal RNA is filed under the name uncultured bacterium. RNAcentral describes it as "partial 16S ribosomal RNA". It matches the Rfam family "Bacterial small subunit ribosomal RNA", at positions 28 to 1381 of the family's 1533-position model. The record is from RNAcentral.